Molecule: ribosomal RNA, 407 nt
Filed under: uncultured bacterium
Lineage: Bacteria
Description: partial 16S ribosomal RNA
Rfam family: Bacterial small subunit ribosomal RNA
Source: RNAcentral
AUUGAACGCUGGCGGUAGGCCUAACUCAUGCAAGUCGAGCGGAGCGGCGGACGGGUGAGUAAUGCCUAGUAAUCUGCCUGGUAGUGGGGGAUAACGUCCGGAAACGGGCGCUGCUACCUCAUACUAUCUGAUGCGCCUAGCUCUGGUUGGCUAGUUGGUGGGGUAAAGGCCUACUAGGGCGAUGAUCAGUAACUGGUCUGAGAGGAUGAUCAGUAACACUGGAACUGAGACACGGUCCAGACUCCUACGGGAGGCAGCAGUGGGGAAUAUUGGACAAUGGGCGAAAGCCUGAUCCAGCCAUGCCGCGUGUGUGAAGAAGGUCUUCGGAUUGUAAAGCACUUUAAGUUGGGAGGCGUUACCAACAGAAUAAGCACCGGCUAACUUCGUGCCAGCAGCCGCGGUAAUUC